Long non-coding RNA from Vicia villosa (hairy vetch), 2597 nucleotides. RefSeq lists it as uncharacterized. The transcript has 3 exons. Lineage: Eukaryota; Viridiplantae; Streptophyta; Magnoliopsida; Fabales; Fabaceae. The record is from RefSeq and is a predicted model, not a curated record.
CUCUCGUCUCUCUCAUUCCCUCGUCUCUCUUCUCUCUCCUCAAACCCUAAAAAAUGUCUUGGAAAAAAGCCACAAACUCCCAUCUCUGUCGUCGCCUCUUUCUCAUGGCACCACCACCUUAAGUGAAAAAAUCAAAUUCAUUUUGGUAUUCCUCAUCUCACAGACUUCCCAUUGAACAGGUUGGAUUUCUGUUUCAAGAUAUCUCGCCGUCGACCACCGCCUGUCCUUCUCUGACAACUGAUUUAACUGUGGAACAUUUGAUUUUCACAGUGGAACUUGGGUUUGUGUGCUAUAUAUGCUUGGAUCCUCUGAGGUACCGCAACAAGGGAAGCAGUUUAGACGAAGUUAUAUUAACAACAAAGUAUUCUCAUGCAUUCCACAGUCAAUGGUGGGCAUUUUAAAUGAAGAAAUUUUACUUCUCCAGUUAUCCCUAAACUGGUUUAAGUUAGUACACGCAAACAGGACUUACAUUUAUAUGGACCACAACCUACAUUUGCUACUGCCUUAUCUUAUUAGUACACACAAACAAGACUAACUUGUGAUUCAAACAGGGUUUAGUGAAGACUAUAUCAUGCAGUUCUCAAGAAACCAAGUUGGGCAUUCUGAAAUAUGUCAGUGACAUCAUAAAGCCGGCAAGAAAAGUGAAUAUUUCACAAGGAUGCACUCAUAUUCCCAUGAAUACUAUAUAUUAUAUAUGCUUAAGCACAAGCAUUGCCAGUGUCUUUGAGAAUUUGGUAUUCACAAAUAGAGAUCCAUUAAUAUACACUGGCUUACUCUUCUUAUGGGUCCGCUUAGCUGUGGGAAAACUACCUUACUAAUGGCAUUGGUUGGAAAAGUAGAUCAAUCUCUUAAGAUCAGUUUUAAACACAGUAAUAUAGAAUAAAUUUAGUGUGCAAAGUCAUUGAUUUUAAGUGAUUUUUUUAGCAUAACUCCAAAAUCAAUAAAGAUUCUACAUAUUAAUUGUUGUGAUAUCAUACCUUUUACUUUAGGUUUCUGGAGAAAUCUGUUACAAUGGUCACAGACUAGAUGAAUUUGUUCCUAAAAAAACAUCUGUUACAAUGGUUUCUAAUUAUGUUUGAUAAUCUCGGUAAUUAAUGUGUUUAAAGAAACUUAUAAGUUGAAAGUAUUUUUUUUGAUAAUUUAGCUUUGUUGUCUUUUACUUUCAUGCAAUAACUUAGAAGUUUGUUGUAUUUUUGACAUUAUUGAAUAAAGAAUCACGAUUUUCAUAUUUGAAAAACUAUCAUAAAUUCAUAAUAUUGAGGACCGGUUAACACACUUCACUCUUGUAUAAACAUUUGAUGCUCUGUCGUAUAACUUCUAAACAAACGCUCACCGCCUUUGAUGUUUUGAAAGUCAACUAGAGCAUUCAAGGCAGCAUCACAUCUAGCGAGUGCCACACCACCUCCUGCUCAUGUACUAAGUCGUGGUAUCGGUUGGCAGGGAAUUUGAAUUUUGCUGAAUGGCCUUUUUGGAACACUGAUUGGUUCAAUCGUUUCAGUGUAUGUGAUAUUAAACUUAUUCUCAUUCAUAGUUUUCAUUUUUUGUGAGACAAAAAUUGAAUCUUUUAGUAUCAUGACAGAGAAUGUAGGACUUCUAGGAAGCAACUGUGUCGGAAGUUGAAGAGUCUUUUAAGUUUCUGUUGGCUUUAUGAUAUUCUUCUCGAUGUUAGGUGAGUGACAAACUUUAUAUGAAAUGUUUCGGUGUUAGCAAUUAAAAUUUGACAGGAUAAAUUAAAGUUGUAGCAAUCUGUUUGUUUUAGAGAGAUUGCACAAACAUCAUGUAGCUAUAAGCGCAUUUCCUCUUAUAUUUCAUGAUCUUUACUGGUUUGUUUUUUUUGUACAUUUUUUUAGAAGAAAUCUCUGCGACAAUAUUUUAAAAAUAAAUAUUCCUGCUAUAACUUGUCAUUAAACCUUUGUGAACAGGAAACUGAGAAAAAAAUGACAUGAACUACAAUGUAUCUAUCUACUUACUGCUCUCAUAGGAUCAUGAUGAAAAAUUCACAUUUUGAGUUGGCUGAAUCAUGAUUCAAAAUGCAUAGAAGAACACUUUGGGUGAGCCAAUCCGUUGUUUUGGUGAACCUCUUGACAGGCUGAUGCAAAAAUAGUGACAGUUAAAUUGAUCUUCUAAGGCGUAUAUAUUCGAUUGAUGUUUCAUGUUGGAAUUUUCUCGGUGUAGCAGUGCGUUGGGAUCCUUUAUUUACCGAGUCACUGGUACUCUCAGUUUGAAUAGCCUGUAUCCAUGUACUGUAUUUAGAAUUUAUGCUAUCGGAUUUGGUAGUGGUUGAGAUGGAAAACGAAUAAUUGUUUCAAGGGCCUGCAUUGGAUCUGGCUAGAUUGUUCUAUUCUCUGUCAAUGGAAGUUUGUGGCCGUGUUAUGUUGAUUACAUGGUAUAAUUAACAUGAUGUUGUUGUGUUGUUUUUAUAUGUUGUAAUUUAAUAUAUUUCCGAGGCGCACGUGGUUAUUUUGUUUAAUGUUCUUAGUUUCUCAGAUUCUGUUUGUUUAGUGUUCUUAGUUUCUAAAAAAAAAUCUGUUUGUUUCUGUUUGUAAUGUACAUGCAAACUUUAUAUUUAUGUCUAUGUUUGUUGGUUUAGUAAAAAU